This 489-nucleotide ribosomal RNA is filed under the name Streptococcus mutans. Its description in RNAcentral is "bacterial SSU rRNA". It matches the Rfam family "Bacterial small subunit ribosomal RNA", at positions 28 to 495 of the family's 1533-position model. Lineage: Bacteria; Bacillati; Bacillota; Bacilli; Lactobacillales; Streptococcaceae. The record is from RNAcentral.
GACGAACGCUGGCGGCGUGCCUAAUACAUGCAAGUGGGACGCAAGAGAACACACUGUGCUUGCACACCGUGUUUUCUUGAGUCGCGAACGGGUGAGUAACGCGUAGGUAACCUGCCUAUUAGCGGGGGAUAACUAUUGGAAACGAUAGCUAAUACCGCAUAAUAUUAAUUAUUGCAUGAUAAUUGAUUGAAAGAUGCAAGCGCAUCACUAGUAGAUGGACCUGCGUUGUAUUAGCUAGUUGGUAAGGUAAGAGCUUACCAAGGCGACGAUACAUAGCCGACCUGAGAGGGUGAUCGGCCACACUGGGACUGAGACACGGCCCAGACUCCUACGGGAGGCAGCAGUAGGGAAUCUUCGGCAAUGGACGAAAGUCUGACCGAGCAACGCCGCGUGAGUGAAGAAGGUUUUCGGAUCGUAAAGCUCUGUUGUAAGUCAAGAACGUGUGUGAGAGUGGAAAGUCACACAGGACGUAGCUACCAAAAGGACGCA